Molecule: long non-coding RNA, 2274 nt
Organism: Pogona vitticeps (central bearded dragon)
Lineage: Eukaryota; Metazoa; Chordata; Lepidosauria; Squamata; Agamidae
Source: Ensembl
AUGAUAGCUGGAGGCCAGACGGAGGGUGUCCAGCUUGGAGAGCUUGGUGUCCGGCGGCACCCAGGGCAAGGUGGUCUUGAGGCGGGAGAAGGCUUUGCUCAGCACCCGCAUGCGGGCCCUCUCGCGGGCGUUGGCCGCGUUGCGCUGGACCUGCUUGCCCNNNNNNNNNNNNNNNNNNNNNNNNNNNNNNNNNNNNNNNNNNNNNNNNNNNNNNNNNNNNNNNNNNNNNNNNNNNNNNNNNNNNNNNNNNNNNNNNNNNNNNNNGGGGGGGAGGGAGAGGGGGGGAGUGGCGAGAUGCGGGCGAUCCCGCCGCCGCCGCCGCCGCCGCCGCCACCACCACCCGGGUGUCUCCUCUGGAUGCGGCCGGGCUGCCGUCGGAGGGCGAGCGGGAAGGCGCGCCGCACUUUGGGGCGAGCAGGACUCUCGGGUCAUUUAUCUGCGCGCCCGGCUUGGCGGGGGCAGGCAGGGAGGCGGUCCCGGGGAGGGGUUUCCCGCAGGCCGGACCGGGCUCCGUGGUGCUCGCACCCGCGUUCACCCCCGGUGGGCGGGGUAGGGAAGAGACCGGAGGGACGGCGGCUCGCUUCCAAAGCGGAGCGCAACUUGGAGCGGGGCGCCCGCUGCCUGCUCACCGUUCCGUUCCUCUGCUGGGCUCGCCGGACUAGCUUGCCCAACUCGGUCCGGAGGUGGGCCUUCUAUACAGCAAACACAAAUCUUUGUCAUUUUGCAGUCCCAAGAACAAUUUGUUGAUGAUGAAGCCAAGAAGUCGAUCACAGGAAGGAAACACUAACCUUUAGCAGGAGGGAGUUGACCAGUGAUGAAGUCAGGAAUGUGCUGAUCCCCUUAAGCUGGACAAGGCGGCAAAGUGUGGGAAGCUGCAGGGACAUCAAGAUGAAAUCACUGUUGGGUUAAUUAAUUAGGGUGGAAUGCCUUGUACACUGAGAAGAGGGAAGGAACAUGGAUCGCCCUGAAUCUAAGCCUCAAGUAGCAGCUUCAAAAAAUUUCUGCAGCCACAGGAAUCAUGGAAACUGUUGGGUAAAGCUUAAAUUGGCUUUGGUCCAAAGGACAAUGUCAAAUAUUCGUGGAAACAGGCUGCAGCUGCUGUGUGUACAAGGACUUCUCUGUAUAAAGGUUUGUGGCUCCUUCUAUUUACCACUUAAAUACACUCUCACAGAGAUUUUCACACCCAAUCACAAAUCCUGUUUCCACAUUAUUACUGGUGCCACAGAAGAGUGUAUUUGCAAAGGCACAUGAGUUCCACUGAAUGCUGAAAGCAAAGUCUGAGGCCAACACUCUGUGCUAUGUUACAGCUCAGUAGAUCACAGUCUUCUUCUCAGAAACCAACCCAGUAGUGGGAUCUACUGCGCCCUGUCACUUUAAGAAAGAAAUCAGCAGCUCCAACAUGAAUUGAUCACCAUAUGGAAAAGUAGCUCCCAUGGAAGUAGUCUUACUUUUAUUGCAGUAUCCUAUAUAAAUAGAUGGGCCUGUCUGGACUUAGAUGGACUCAAUACAUUUCUUAGUGAAGGACCCCCUUGCUUUCUCCUUUUAAGUUUUUCUUCUGCAUGUUUCCUGGUGAAUUUAUCAACAGAUAAUAGUAUUAUUGUCAGAAAGAUGCCACUGUUCUGAUAACACAUAUAAUAGGAUCUAUGAUGUAAACUUGUACAAUUGUUAUAACUUACACAAUGGUGCAAAAGAAAGUCUUCAUAUCUUUUGACUGCUUGUUUCUAGAUUUGAAUUUCAAAGAAUUUGAGUAUGGAAAACUUACUCUUUUAAAAUAUUUUAAUAGGGUUGAGUCUGCUGUACAAUCAGCACAUUCAGGAUGUAUUUACUCAUUAAAGUUUUGCAGUAUUUUUCUUGUAACUUCCUGCCUUUACUCAUGGAAGAUUAUACAUGGUGAAAUGAGAAAAAAGCCAGAAAUGACCCCUGGGUAAUAAUUCCAGCCACCAUAUCUGAAGAAUGCUCAGAUAUGUUCCAGCCUUCCCUUGGUUUUUUUAAAGAAUGUUACAGUAUAUGUCAAAAAUAUGUCUACAGCUAUCAUUCUUAUCAAGAAUUUUUGUCCUCCUAAGUUUCCUUUCUGAAUCUCAGUACCUCUUGCAAUGAGUACUUGGAAUAUUUGUCAAGUACCGGCCAGAGCUUGGGAAGUUACUUUCCAAACUAAUUAGUUAUGUUUAUUAGUCAUAUUUUAACUAGAGAUGGGCUGGACUUAAGUUGUGCCCCUUUGUAAGAAGUUUCCUGCACUGCACUGUAGCUGCAAUAAAUUCCCUCAAUCACUCCCCA